RNAcentral lists this small nuclear RNA (103 nucleotides) under Metschnikowia bicuspidata var. bicuspidata NRRL YB-4993. The record is from RNAcentral. Lineage: Eukaryota; Fungi; Ascomycota; Pichiomycetes; Serinales; Metschnikowiaceae.
AUCGUUGGCGAUGGUACGUCUGUCAAUUUCAACACUACAGAGGAGAUUAGAAUUGUCUUUGCAUAAAGAUGACACGCUAUACAAAGAGAUUUACCAUUUCUUC